Peromyscus eremicus (cactus mouse) is the source of this 1025-nucleotide long non-coding RNA. RefSeq lists it as uncharacterized. The transcript is spliced from 3 exons. Lineage: Eukaryota; Metazoa; Chordata; Mammalia; Rodentia; Cricetidae. The record is from RefSeq and is a predicted model, not a curated record.
UGGUCAGUCAGAUGUGACCUGCUCUUUUAAGAGGAUCUCUUCCUUUUCCUCCCUCCACCCCUCUCUCCCUCUCGGGGACAAGCGCACGCACUCCCCCACACAGCUCAAGAAGCUUGGAGCCUUUUCACAACGCAUACUCCAGGGUCCUGUUGUGACAGCCUCUUGCCACAUUAACUUGCCUGUCCGACUCCCGGCAGAGAAGGAGCAGGAGCCUUUGCUAAUGUCCCAGAAGGAAAGAAGCAGGAAAUUCGAACAAAACAAAUCUACACGCAGAACCCAGCAUCUGCAAGCCAGGGACCCAAACCGAGACUAGAUGACUUCAGACUGUAGAUGAAGAAGCAGCUGCCUCUUUAGAGGAGAAAAAACAACAACAAAAAACUCUGUGUCCUGCAAUUAUGAUGCCAGAUAGCAAGAAAGCUGUAGCCUGAUAUUCAACACCUGUGGAAGGCAAGCCGCUGUUCCUGCCCCCUGAAGCUGAUCACUUCCUAUCCCAGAACACAUCCAGAAGCUGAUCUCACUGCCUCCUCUGCUACUGUACUCAUCCCAACCCUAUCAUUUGCCACCUGACUGUGACAGCCUCUUCUGCAGUCUCCUGUUUCACUCUUGAUACAGCAUCCAUGAUAUCAGGAUAAAACCAAGGCGCCUACCACUGCCCCGCUGAAAACCCUGCAAUGGAUCCACCUCACUACAAGGAAAAUAAAACUCCUACCAGGCCCUACGUGCCCUUUGUCCAUCACCGCUGUUGCCAUUUACUGUACUCUUGCUCCUUCUGGUCCUGCCUCAAGGGUGUGCUCUGCCCUUCCUCCUGUCUGGAAUGCUGUUUUCACAAACAUACACGGGCUCCUCCCUGCACGCCCUGCGUGUUUUGUUCAACUGGCUUCCACUUUCAUCCCAAACUACCCACAGCUUUCAUCCCAAAGCGAAUAAGAGACCAUGUAUUUUUUAACCAUUUUUGUGACUAUGGUACAGGAACACAGAUUUAGGUUGCCCCAAAUUCCAUGCUACCAUAAAAAUUAUAUCAUCAA